CCUGCUGCUCUGGGGCCCCCUGUUGAACUUAUGGGGCGGGCAAGUGCCUACCCCCUUAUCGGCGGCCCUGCUGUGCUGCCUAUAGCUUGUACAGAGCUGGGUGAGGUACCCAGCAGAUAUACAGGAAGGGGCGGGGACAAGACCAGUCACCCUGCACCAGGAGCGAGAACAGCAACGACCGGUCUUUAUUACAGGAAGCUCCUGCUGCUCUGGGCCCCCCUGUUGAAUUUAUGGGUGCCUGGGGCGGGCAAGUGCCUACCCCCUUAUCAGCGGCCCUGCUGUGCUUGCCUAUAGCUUGUACAGAGCUGGGUGAGGUACCCAGCAGAUAUACAGGAAGGGGCGGGGACAAGACCAGUCACCCUGCACCAGGAGCGAGAACAGCAAUGACUGGUCUUUAUUACAGGAAGCUCCUGCUGCUCUGGGCCCCCUUGUUGAACUUUUGGUGCCUGGGGCGGGCAAGUGCCUACCCCCCUAUCAGCGGCCCUGCUGUGCUGCCUAUAGCUUGUACAGAGCUGGGUGAGGUACCCAGCAGAUAUACAGGAAGGGGCGGGGACAAGACCAAUCGCCCUGCACCAGGGGCGAGAACAGCAAUGACCGGUCUUUAUUACAGGAAGCUCCCGCACACAGGCAAAGGUUCCCACUAGUUUGCUGCACAGAUCUGGAAGAAAUCCUUAAAGCACACCAAAAUUCAAGGAAGAAUACACACAUGGCGAACGUAUUUAGACAAUAGUCGCUUCCUGGAGUUCAGCUUUAAAUGACCACUAAAUUGCUGGUUGUUUUAUGUAAAAAAAAAAAAAAGUGUUGAUGUUCGUGGAUACGUAAAAGCAUUUUGAGAACUGUAAUUAUUUUAAAGGACGAUGGUAUUCCCCCGCGGAAUACUGCCGCUCACAGGUAACAAUAGGCUGCUCAGACAUUUCAAUACAAUGGGGGAGAUUUACU
This is a long non-coding RNA of Rana temporaria (common frog), 939 nucleotides long. RefSeq lists it as uncharacterized. The record is from RefSeq and is a predicted model, not a curated record. Lineage: Eukaryota; Metazoa; Chordata; Amphibia; Anura; Ranidae. The transcript is spliced from 2 exons.